GUUGCCGAACCUGCCUGGGCUCCCGGGCUGCGGUUCCUCCCGUCGGUCUGCCGGUCUCUACUGCAACUGCUGGGUCCCGACCAAACUAACACGAAACUGCGCCGGAACGUCGGGCCGGACUGAGAGGUACAGGCCCUGCUUGUGUGGGGCUUAGUCAGGAUGCCAACUUAGACCACACGGCAGACUGGCAGCCAAGCUGGUAAGGCUGGAACAGGAACACCUAUUCUUGGUUUGAAUUCUGAGUGCCAGCAGGACCUGGAGGGAGCUGACAUACUGAAGGAACUAGGGGCCAGCAAGAUGGCAGACGAGGCCUUAGCUGGGCUGGAUGAAGGAGCCCUCCGAAAACUGCUGGAGGUCACCGCAGAUCUGGCAGAACGGCGGCGGAUCCGCUCAGCCAUUCGGGAGCUGCAGCGGCAGGAGCUGGAACGAGAAGAGGAGGCUCUGGCAUCCAAACGUUUCCGUGCCGAGCGGCAAGACAACAAGGAGAACUGGCUACACUCUCAACAGCGAGAAGCUGAACAGCAGGCCGCCCUCACACGGUUGGCAGGGAGAUUGGAGUCCAUGAACGAUGUAGAGGAGUUGACCACACUGCUUCGGAGUGCUGGCGAAUACGAGGAACGCAAGCUGAUCCGAGCCGCCAUCCGCCGAGUGCGAGCUCAGGAGAUUGAGGCUGCCACCUUGGCUGGGAGACUGUGCAGUAGACUUCCCAGUAGUGGCCCCCGAGAGGACAGCAGGAGGCAGGCAGCACACACAUUGGACCCUGGUAAGGUGCCAGAGCCAGAGCAACAGAAACAGCAGACAGAAGGACGAGAGCCAACCCCAACCCCGGAGGACACCAGCCAGGAUGUGACCACAGUGACACUCCUGCUGAGGGCCCCGCCUGGGAGCACACCCGGUUCACCUGCCUCCCCGGACAAUUCGCCCACCGGUGCCUCUCCAGAGCCUCGGCUGGAGCCUCCUGGAGCCCAGUGUCCUACUGCAGAGGCUCCAGUCAGCUCUGAGCCACUCCCGCACCCUUCAGAAGCUCCCAGCCCCGAGCCGCCCAUGUCGCCGGUACCCCCCAGCUCUCAGGGGCGGGUCAUCAGCAAGCCCCUGCCUGGCCCCACGGAGCCCUCAGAUACCCUGGACUCCGCCAGAGGCUCCUCCAACACUAAGAGAGCAGACCCAGCUGAAUCGAAACCCUGCCAACGUUCACUAUCGGUGCUCAGUCCCCGACAGCCAACCCCAAAUCAAGAGCCAACCCCUCUUGCAGGACCGUCCCAGUUCCGUCGAGCUGGCUCUGUGAGAGACAGAGUCCGAAAGUUCACAUCUGAUUCUCCCGUGGUUGCCAGGCUCCAGGACGGCCCACCCCGAAUAGCCCUCACUUCACAGACCCCCACAAGGCUCCCGGGCCCUUCCCUCAUCAGCACCACCCCUGCCUCCUCCUCCUCCAGCGACUCCUCCUCUCUGAGUCCCAGUGACACUUCCUCCCACAAGAAGCAGAGAGAACUUGCUCAUUCCCUGGCCCAGCUUCAGAGCUGCCCUCAAGAGGAGGGCCCUAGGGGGCGGGGCUUGGCUCUCAGGUCCCUUGAAAACAGAGCAGGGGGGCCCAAGUCCUGCUCAGAAGAGCCCAGUACCCCACCGCCUGUCGCCAUCGGCACUGGGGAGCCAGGGGGCAGUAUGAAGACUACGUUUACCAUUGAGAUCAAGGAUGGCCGUGGUCAGGGCUCCACAGGCCGGGUGCUGCUGCCCACAGGCAACCAGAGAGCAGAAUUGACUUUGGGAUUGCGGGCACCCCCAACCCUUCUCAGCACCAGCAGUGGGGGCAAGAACACCAUCACCCACAUUAGCAACCCUGGGACUGUGACCCGACUGGGCAGUGUCACUCGCGUCACUACCUUCAGCCAUGCCUCCCCUGGUAACCGAGGAGGCUGCAACUUUAAGAUGGAGCCAGAUCCUGCAGAGCCCCCCUCUGCCACAGUGGAAGCAGCUAACGGCGCAGAGCAGGCUCGAGUGGACAAAGGCCCAGAGGGGCGGAGCCCCCUGAGUGCGGAGGACCUGAUGGCCAUUGAGGAUGAAGGAGUCCUGGACAAGAUGCUGGACCAGACUACGAACUUUGAGGAGAGGAAGCUCAUCCGGGCUGCGCUGCGUGAGCUCCGACAAAGAAAGAGAGACCAGAGGGACAAGGAACGAGAACGGAGGCUACGGGAGGCACGGGCCCGGCCGGGCGAGAGCCGAAGCAACGUGGCUACAGAGACCACCACCAGGCACAGCCAGCGGGCGGCUGAUGGCUCUGCUGUCAGCACAGUCACCAAAACCGAGCGGCUCGUCCACUCCAAUGAUGGCACUCAGACAGCCCGCACCACCACAGUGGAGUCGAGUUUCAUGAGGCGCUCGGAGAAUGGCGGCAGCAGCAGCAGCACCACCACCACGGUCCAAACCAAGACCUUUUCCUCUUCCUCUUCCUCUUCCUCGUCCAAAAAGAUGGGCAGUAUCUUCGACCGAGAGGACCAAACCAGCUCACGUCCUGGCAGCCUGGCAGCCCUUGAAAAACGCCAGGCAGAGAAGAAGAAAGAGUUAAUGAAGGCUCAGAGUCUGCCCAAGACUUCAGCAUCCCAAGCGCGCAAGGCCAUGAUUGAGAAACUAGAGAAAGAAGGCUCUGCCGGUGGUCCUGGCACACCCCGUACAGCUGUACAGCGUUCUACCAGCUUCGGAGUCCCCAACGCCAAUAGCAUCAAGCAGAUGUUGCUGGACUGGUGCCGAGCCAAGACCCGCGGCUACGAGCAUGUGGACAUCCAGAACUUCUCCUCCAGCUGGAGUGAUGGGAUGGCCUUCUGUGCCCUGGUGCACAAUUUCUUCCCUGAGGCUUUUGACUAUGGGCAGCUGAGCCCACAAAACCGGCGCCAGAACUUUGAGAUGGCCUUCUCAUCCGCUGAGACCCAUGCGGACUGCCCGCAGCUCCUGGAUACAGAGGACAUGGUGCGGCUUCGGGAGCCAGACUGGAAGUGCGUGUACACGUACAUCCAGGAGUUCUACCGCUGUCUGGUCCAGAAGGGGCUGGUAAAAACCAAAAAGUCCUAACCCCUGCUUGGGGCCCCACGGUGAGAAAUGUCGCCUCUCCCACCUGUCUCAUUUCACCGGAAUCUGCUCAUCAAUGCAUUGAGAGGGAUAUGGGGGGGAAAGUGUGAACAGCAGGAGAGGCUUAGAAAGCCCAGAGGAGACAGGCAAGUCCCUCGGUGACACAAGGGUAUGGUGACAGGGAGCCCAGGAGACCCCAGGCUCAGCCCAGCAUGGCAAACUAUAAAAAGGAGAAAACUAAUCUAGGGUCUGAACAGUUCACACUGAGGGAGGAAAAGGAGCAGCAGGCACAGGAACAGACCCAGCAAGGCCAGAGACAAGAGAGAUGGAGAAUGGAGAAGACAGCUUAGCCUGGAAGGAAAGAACCUGACGAGGUUGAAGGAAGGGACCACAGUAUGAGUUUGAGCAUCGUUGUGAGGACCCAGGAGGCAAAGGUUAGCCAAAUGGGAGAGAUGUGCUCAGACUAGGAUUCCAAAAAAAAUCCUUGGGAGAAACUUGAGAUGUUCAAGAUGGAACAACAUCAGAAGUAGAGGAUCAGAAGGGACAGGGUGGUGGGUGCUUGCUGCCUCACACAGGAUCACAGUUUAAGGUCAGCCGGGGCAACAGCAAGACCCUGUCUUAAAAACAAACAAACAAACUAGAAAGGCAGGCUCCCUGAUCUGGUUUGAAGAAAGAGAGGGUCAAGACGCCACUCAGGCUCAGCAUGUGACACAUGGGGAGCUAGCUGGUGGUGUCUUUCUCCAAAGUGAGGAGCUUGGGAACAGAACCAGUUCAACAGGAAGAUGUUUCUGGCUGGAUUCCCCGGAGCCAUAUGGCUUUUCUCUCUGCUCACAUCACCUCGGGGCCACAGUGAAGAAUUCCGAUCUGACCUGGCUUUCCUAUUACAGAUAAGGAGCUAAAAGAGGAGAGUGAGGCCCAGGUCUCCAUUUACUUGUUUGUUUUCUAGACCCACCGCUAUAUUCCCACCGAUUUUGUAGACAGAGGUAGGUGGGAGGUGGGGGUCAGAUCACAGAAGAGGGUAGAGUCUUAUCCAGCACGCAUGAGCACAGGUAGAAAGAUAGAGCACCGAAGUAAAGAUAGGGGCCCAAGGGGAGAAAUGAAUUGCUGGAGGAAAUGUGACUCAGCAAGGAUACACAGGGUGCUUUUCCUGCGUUAGGGGCCCUGGGGGAAGGAACACAGGUGCUCACACACUCAGAGGUUCAGGUGUGAAAAACAGGCUUGGUACUGUCUCUAGGUCAUAUAUGGACUUAGCUCCUGCUCAGCAGGCCACUGGAAAGAGAAAAGCUUUGCUUAGGGUAGCUCUGGCCCAGUAGGAAAGUGUGACUCAGCUACGUGCUCUUGCUUUAGUUGCCUGGUGUUUGGCUUGUCACUUGGGUAGCCUGAACCAUGUACCCCAGUAUAAACAAUGGCUUUAUAAGGUCUCCAGGGAAGGCACCACGGGCAGGAGGGAGCUCCAGACUUGGGAGGGAGGCUGGAAUCCCUGUACAGAUAGCUACAGUUGGAAGAUGCUCCAGAGAGAGGCUGCCUCUUCACCAUGGUACAGCUGGAUAAACAACCCCAAAUGUGGGGUGAGGAUGACCCGAAGGGCACAUAGCCUGUCAACAGUAGUGCCAGGAUGCUGGUGGACUGUGUACCCUUGGUGGAGGUGGAGGACAUGAUGAUCAUGGGCAAAAAGCCCGACCCCAAGUGCGUCUUCACCUAUGUGCAAUCGCUGUACAACCACCUGCGGCGCCAUGAGCUGCGCUUGCGCGGCAAGAAUGUCUAGCCACUCUGCUCACACCGCCCUCGCUGCGGGCUGCGGGCUGCUGUCCCCACGCCCCCAGCACCGGCCCCUCCCAGUGCGCCUGCCCACUGCUGCCCCGUCUGUUGAAACACCUCUCCCCCUUGUACACACGCAGCGUUUUGAUAAAUUAUUGGUUUUCAACGA
Mus pahari (shrew mouse) is the source of this 4984-nucleotide RNA transcript. It is a transcript of the gene named smoothelin, with no coding region annotated. NCBI's taxonomy places the organism in Eukaryota, Metazoa, Chordata, Mammalia, Rodentia, Muridae. The transcript has 22 exons. The record is from RefSeq and is a predicted model, not a curated record.